UGCUAACCAAUGUUUCAAAAGGGUAAACAAAUAAAGAAAAUAAAUAAAAACGGAUCCCAAAAACUGUAAAGGUAAUUUAAGGUUUGAGACAGGUGCUAGGAAGCGUAUAUACAGUCAGGUGAAUAUAACCCUUCCACACCAACAACCAAGGUAUGGUUCAUGUAGUAAAUUGUAAAGGAAAUAAAAAAGAUCCUUUAACCUCCAAUAAGCAAACUAGCAGAAAACCUCACCAAAUUAAAAACUAAUAUCUGCCUGCCUCGUUUCAGGCUUCAAGGCCCUUAAACAAAAGGACAAUCUAUUUGGGUCCGAUAUCCUUCAGGGCGCAG
RNAcentral lists this long non-coding RNA (326 nucleotides) under Carica papaya (papaya). Its description in RNAcentral is "long non-coding RNA (CPAP_LNC012825)". Lineage: Eukaryota; Viridiplantae; Streptophyta; Magnoliopsida; Brassicales; Caricaceae. The record is from RNAcentral.